UAUACGACCGUACCGCAAACCGACACUGGUGCGCGAGAUGAGUAUUCUAAGGCGCUUGAGAGAACUCAGGAGAAGGAACUCGGCAAAUUGACACCGUAACUUCGGAAGAAGGUGUGCCCUAUUAGUGUGUAGUGAACAACGAAGCAUGAAUGGGUUGCAAAAAAUCGGUGGCUGCGACUGUUUAUUAAAAACACAGCACUCUGCAAACACGAAAGUGGACGUAUAGGGUGUGACGCCUGCCCGGUGCUGGAAGAUUAAAUGAUGGGGUGCAAGCUCUUGAUUGAAGUCCCAGUAAACGGCGGCCGUAACUAUAACGGUCCUAAGGUAGCGAAAUUCCUUGUCGGGUAAGUUCCGACCUGCACGAAUGGCGUAACGAUGGCCACACUGUCUCCUCCUGAGACUCAGCGAAGUUGAAAUGUUUGUGAUGAUGCAAUCUCCCCGCGGAAAGACGGAAAGACCCCAUGAACCUUUACUGUAGCUUUGUAUUGGACUUUGAACAGAUCUGUGUAGGAUAGGUGGGAGGCUUUGAAGCAGGGUCGCUAGAUCUUGUGGAGCCAACGUUGAAAUACCACCCUGGUGUGUUUGAGGUUCUAACCUAGGUCCAUUAUCUGGAUCGGGGACAGUGCAUGGUAGGCAGUUUGACUGGGGCGGUCUCCUCCCAAAGCGUAACGGAGGAGUUCGAAGGUACGCUAGUUACGGUCGGACAUCGUGACGAUAGUGCAAUGGCAUAAGCGUGCUUAACUGCGAGACUGACAAGUCGAGCAGAUGCGAAAGCAGGACAUAGUGAUCCGGUGGUUCUGUAUGGAAGGGCCAUCGCUCAACGGAUAAAAGGUACUCUGGGGAUAACAGGCUGAUACCGCCCAAGAGUUCAUAUCGACGGCGGUGUUUGGCACCUCGAGGUCGGCUCAUCUCAUCCUGGGGCUGUAGCCGGUCCCAAGGGUAUGGCUGUUCGCCAUUUAAAGAGGUACGUGAGCUGGGUUUAAAACGUCGAGAGACAGUUUGGUCCCUAUCUUCCGUGGGCGCUGCAGAUUUGAGGAAGCCUGCUCCUAGUACGAGAGGACCGGAGUGGACACACCUCUGGUGUAUCGGUUGUCACGCCAGUGGCAUUGCCGAGUAGCUAAGUGUGGAAGAUAUAACCGCUGAAAGCAUCUAAGCGGGAAACUCGUUUCAAGAUGAGAUCUGCCGGGGCCUUGAGCCCCCUAAAGAGUCGUUCAAGACCAGGACGUUGAUAGGUCAGGUGUGGAAGUGA
This 1249-nucleotide ribosomal RNA is filed under the name metagenome. RNAcentral describes it as "bacterial LSU rRNA". It matches the Rfam family "Bacterial large subunit ribosomal RNA", at positions 1635 to 2876 of the family's 2925-position model. The record is from RNAcentral.